AAAGUGUGUAAAAAAGGGGUAAAAAUGUGGAAAGAAGUGGAAAAUUACCAUAAAGUAGAUACAACUAAAUUAAAAAAAAAAGAUUGAACAGCCAUCAACUUAAAAUAGUACAAAGAUCAUAUAGCUGUUCUCUAAAAUUAAUAUAUUUUGAAUGAAAUAGUUCAAAGCUGAUGUUUUUUUCCAACGGAUGUCAAUGAAUGUGCAUAAAAAAACAGAAGGUACAGACUCCACACAGACAUCUGUAGCCUUCACCCUACUAGACAACAGAUCUGAAUAUGUGCGCCCAGAGGCAUGUGAGAUGCAUCUUUGGAAACAGCUGCACAUUGGAUGCAUACUGGUCCCAACAGCUGCACAACAGUGUUUUAGAAACAGCAAAAAGACAUCAAGUAUGAUUGCAUAUUACACUUCAUUCAUUUUGGCAGAAUUAAACCAAAGUAAUCAAGGACUGCAUCUACCUAAACACAAGUUUAAAAUUAUUAUUUUUUUUUUAAUCUGCAAAUACAGGAUUUUAUUUUAAAAUGCAUUCUGAGGUUAUGCUCUAAAAAUAUAGUAUUAUAAAUCAGAAUAGGUUAAUUUAAUUAAAAAAAUGAUUAUAAUAAAUCAGAAUAAACAUUAAAUUAGUUAAAAGUAAAGAUAACACAAAAUAGAAAAGUGCAAAACAGUUUAAACUUUUUUUUAACCUGCCAUUCAGUUUAAAAGACAUACAGCGCAGUGAUUUUUAUACUUCAGUUAAGACUUCUUAGGAUUUGCUUUUAUACUGUCAGUUUUAACAAAGUUUUUAAAAAUCUGUCAAUAAAAAAACUAACUUAAAAAAAAACUAAAAAAAACUUAGAGAUCCCAGCUAACAGGUUGAAGAAAGUUGAGAAAUGAAAUAGAGGAAAAACACUAUAAAGUCCAGCUUUAAUGCUUCUUUUUCAAUUUUGAAAAAAGGUAAAUAAUUAUAAAAUUGGUAGAAAAUCAUCUCUGCAACUGACCACUACUGAUAAUGAUGCUUACAUACGUAUAAGGUGACGUGCCACCAACGUCUUAAAGUGGGAGGGAUAUCAUCCUACAAAUACGUGCGACCUAAGCCACCCGCCAUCCAAAUUUGCCAAAUAUCUAGAAACCACUUGAAAAUGUGAGAUCCAUAUUUUUUUUUUCUAAAAUGAGGAAUAGACACCAAAGAAAACUCAUGAGAAGGAGACAGAAAUUCAAACUUAGGAAACCUAACUACAUCUGAGUGGAUCAGAGGUCAGAAGCAAAGGAGAAAAAGGAGUGUAGGAGGAGAACUCAUCCCGGGGAUGGUGGGAGAUACCAAGUUACAAUUGAACCACAAGAGAGAAAGCGAAUGUGACCAAAGGAAGUGAGCCAGUUGUCCCAGCAGGAGCACAGCAUCAGACGCGCAAUAAUCAGGAGGGAAUUAGAGUCAUUAUGGCUAGAAGGGUAAUGGAGGACAAGUCCUUCACUCCAAAAAUGGGAGAAAGAGGUUUGUUCAGUUGUAGGAAACUAGAUUUAUUCUGUUGUAUAUAUACUAAGAUCUUCUCCACAAAAGAAAAUAAAAAAUAUGAAAAUGCAAAGGUAAUUUUGCAACCACCUGCACAUAGAUGGUAAAAUAUAUUUUUAAUAAUUUCACCAUUUUUUUUUUAUGAUUCUGUCUUGCAAAUGCUUCCAGGUCUGUGUAUGUUCAAACUGAAGUGAUUAUUGUUUCAAAUUUAACAUUUUCAAUUGCUUCAAUCUGCCCCAGCACAAAAAUGUAAUACAUAAACCUGAAUGUGCUCUUCUAAUGUUUGCAGAUGUUCCUAAUUUUGAUCUUGAAUUUAGUCAGAUGUUUUUCCCAUUUUUUGCCAAUACUAUCCAAUAACUUUUUAUUGCUUGAUCAAGAAUAGUGAAAUACUCCACUGUAAAAACAGGCUUCCUUGAAAUUAGUCAAAUAUUCUUUAAGAAAAAAGUCUUUAAAUAAGCAAAAAGAAAUCUGUCAAUGGGGUAAGAAAUGUUGUUUCAUAAAGAAAUAUUAAGAUUUUUUUCUGCCAUUUAAAAACUUAGAUAAAAUUAUUCUCCUGGCAAGAAAGGAAAUAGGAAUGCUUCUCUAAGCCGUUUUUGUUACAACUGGAAUGAUGGAAACCCAAGUGCAGAAAGGAAUCAGGCUGAGUCUCUAGAAUGCGCCAAAAAGCAAUUUAAUUAAUGACAAAAAAAUGUAGGUGGGAACAAAAAUCCAAUCUCCUCACUGGAGGGAAAACUGCAAAAGGUAAAAAAUAUGAACUAAACAAAGACACAAAAAAACCAAAGGACAAGCAGACCUCAGUGUCAGGUGAGCAAGAGAACCACAGAGCUAACAGGGACGCACCCACAAUGGGGACUGAGUGACUUCAACUUAAUAAGCUUAAAUACAAUGUGCAAGCAGCUGUGCACUCUUCCACAGAGAGUACCAGGUACAGGAGGGAGGAACCAUCCAGGAGACGUGACAGCUGAGCUGCAAAACAUAGAAGCAGUCAGAAACAGAACAAAAACACCAAACUGAGACAGUUUGACUUUCUAAAGAUUCCGUUUUUGUCGUGUGACACCGUAUUUCUUUGUGUAGUCUGUUGAGUUUUGUUUUUUUUUGACACAUUAUAUGUAGUAGUAUUAUUAUUAUAUCAGAAAAGUUUUAUCAGAAAAGUAAGUUUUAAACUACCAUAAGUUGUACUUAUUAGAAUAAUUUCACACAUCUCAAGGAGAAAAAUGUCAAAACAAUUGGCUCCUAUUUUUUUCCCCUUUGGCCAAGAUUUUCAUACUUGUUCAUUUUGUUUGAGCGGGAAGUUUCUUUUUCCAGAGUGACCCUCACAUAGGAAUUCUCCUCCGUUACCAUGACCCUGCCUUUGAGUCUCCAUCAUCUCAUUAACUUGUGGCGGGCAGCCUGAGCAGCUUCCAUUAUCUUUAUACAGACAGAGCAGAAGUUAAAAAUGGAAGAUGGACUGAGUAAUUACGUGCUUUUUAAGCAAGGUCAGCAUGCAGACUCUGAACACACUGUCCAGACGGACUGUAUAGGUUAAACACACAAAGCACAAUGGAAACACUUUUCUUUGUUCACGUUUUGCAAUUAAAAGUCUAAUUUCAGCCAUGAAAAUGUGCAAAACUGGAGAGAACAAUAAAAUCCCAAAGUGUGUGAUCUCUAAAAUAAUGAAGUCGAUAUAAGUGUUUUGUUUUUCCUCUUGGUUAAACAUGUAAAUUUUACUUCCAUUAACUGCCAAAUGACAGUCUUUUGUUCAUUAAUGGGAUGUCAAAGUGCAAAUUAGUUCACCAAUUUGUUUUGUACCACUCUGCCAACCAAAUGAUCACAUUCUGGUUGUAAAGUAGAAGAGUAUUUGAUUAUUAACUCAGUUAGCAGUUUUUUUCCCCCUUCGAACUUCACUGUUAAUGAUUAAAAAUACACUCACAUUACAUCAGUUUGUAUAAUGCAGAUGUGUUAAUGACACUUUAAUUAGACUUGGGCUCUUCUCCUCCCCCACCACAGGGGCAUGGAAGAAGACACAUUUAAUUAGACGACUCAGCAUCAUUCAAAAUCAUUGCAAAAAGUAUUCAUCUUAACUUUAAGAUUCUAUUUUACAAAACAGAAAAGAACAAGUUAAAAAAGACUUAAAAACAUGACAAGAAAUAAGAAGACAUGAUACAUUGAAGUAUGUGUUGCCUGAAAGUUAUUUUGGAACAUCUAAUUUUAUUUUUUUUUAAAGUGAAUUUAGUUUUGUAGACUGAGACUUAUAAAUAAACUAAUGAUGUUUCAGUUUCACGAUAUGAAAUUUCACCCUAAAAGUUUAUCAAUAAACAAAGAAAAACUAUGUUACAUUAAAAAAAGACAAAAUCUUCAAUCAACAUGCAGCUGCAUGGACAUUUAUUCUGUGUCACUAAAGAUUUAAAAAAAUAAAAAUACUAAGUAUAGGAAAUGUAUUUUUAACACCAUCAUAACAACUGGAUAUUAUGUUGUAAAAAAUGAAAGUAUGAUAUUUUCCUCCUCAUCAGCAUAUUGAUCUUCUUCAUCAGGUCAUCUUGAGAGCUGGCUCAGGCAGGUGUGCAUAUUCAAAGACUCUCUACAGGCCAACAGAAUGAUGACAACCACAGAAAAUCUAAUGAUGCUACGUUUUGCCUUCCUGGCACAACUUUCUCCUUUAUAUGUCUGGUCAAAAGGGAGCACAUUUUGUAUUUAAAAAUAUCUAAAAGAGGGGUUCAAAUUAUUUCAAUUUUAAUCAUCCUGAAGCCUUUAUUUUGUCCAAAGUUCUUCUUUGUGGGAAAAAAUGCAAACCUUUUUAUUUUUUUUGUUUUCUUUUGUGUCUUGAAGGAGCCAAAGUGUAUUUUUCUGCGUUUGUUGAGAUGCUUUUGUCAUUUAAUAUCAUGGAGGUUCAAUAAAACAGAUCUAAAGGUUUCACUAAA
Oryzias latipes (Japanese medaka) is the source of this 4380-nucleotide non-coding RNA. The record is from RefSeq and is a predicted model, not a curated record. Lineage: Eukaryota; Metazoa; Chordata; Actinopteri; Beloniformes; Adrianichthyidae.